CAUGCAUGUUUAGUUGACAUACAUAGGAUUGUCAAAGCGCAACUAUUGCUCGCGUUAAUAUUUGUACAAAGCUAAGCGUAUAUGUACAUAUGUAUAUAUACAUUUAGUAAUAUAUGUAAAUGCUGGUGUGUACAAUGUCAAAAAAUAUUUAUACAAAAUAUCAUUUCGUACUAAACCUCUCUUUGAUCCGUGAUUACGUACUCGUAUGUACAUAGCACUUUAUCAAAUACGUGUUUUUAAAACAUAGAGCAUAGACCUGAUUUAAUGGUUUUUGCUUAUGUUCAAAUAAUUAUGUAAUACUGAGUUUAUAUUGUAAUAAUAUUACGUAGUGAACAAUGGAAUAAUGCAGAAUUUGCAUAGUAAAAAUUUGUGAUGUUCUGCUUUUAACUUCUCUUAAACACCGUUUAUUUUAUUGAAGACAAUACAAAAAAACCGAGUACCAGAACACAUGCAGAAUUAAUAUAGUGAAAUAACACAAACCAAAACGGUUUAAAUUCAUCAAUAUUCAGCUGCUUUAAGUUUAUACUCUAAAGGGAUGAUAAUAGACAAUGACGAAUACGAAACUUUCUCAUUUUCCUUAAUUGGUUGCGAUGGAGGUCAGUGAAUUAUGAACAGCUGAUAUCACAAAAGCGGGCUGCCAGAAAUAAACCAACUAAAAGUUACUGACAAAUCAAUGAGAAACGAAAUUUCAAGGAACGUGCUUUUUUAUUUUGAAAUUCCCCAAAACGGACUGGCAAUAUAACCGCGCACCCACCAUAACCGGACACAUUUCAUAAUUGGGCUACUACCCCGCACGAAAUACGUGUAAAAAUUUAACGAUGGGCAUGGCCCCGCCCACUUUUAGAGGAAACCACAUACAUAUCUUGGGACCAGCCCGACCGAUUUCACUCAAUUUCGGCAUAUAGCAUUCACAUAUAACACAAUUUGAAAUUCCUUCUCAUGCUUUCAGAUUCCAGUAUAAAAUUAGAACAAAUAUUAAUAUAACUCGACAAAACUCUGCACGAAUAAUGCCAUUUUAUGACCAAAACUUUCCAAGUCGAACUAAAAYUGUUUAAGCCUCUGGCUACCGGAUAUGUGGAUCUCAGUGUGUAUAGUUGACUUUUAACGAAAAGAUCGGUCAAUGUGAGUAGUAUGUAAUUUUAAUUCGAAAAUAAUCCUUUUUUGAAAAAUAUAGGCUGAAUCGGUUCAAUACUGCUCUUAGCACCA
This is a long non-coding RNA of Bactrocera latifrons, 1206 nucleotides long. RefSeq lists it as uncharacterized. The transcript has 3 exons. Lineage: Eukaryota; Metazoa; Arthropoda; Insecta; Diptera; Tephritidae. The record is from RefSeq and is a predicted model, not a curated record.